UUCUAUGUUAAAGUUAAUUUGAUGAACAAGCCCAAUCUCAUUUGAUCUUGAAGCUAAGCAGGGUCAGGUCUGGUUAGUACUUGGAUGGGAGACCAUCUAGGAAGAUCAGGUGCUGGAGGCA
Molecule: ribosomal RNA, 121 nt
Organism: Pteropus vampyrus (large flying fox)
Lineage: Eukaryota; Metazoa; Chordata; Mammalia; Chiroptera; Pteropodidae
Source: Ensembl